AUGGACUUCUAUCAAUAUUUUCUUCCAAACAAUUCUGUUAUUGCCGUUAUCUUCUUGGGAGUACUUGAGAAGGCGUGGCUGGGAAUGUGGGGACACGCCAUGGCAGAGGCGCAUGGUCGGCAGGAGGAGUCAGGGAGGCCUGAAGGUGGACAUGUGGAUGUUAUCGUGGCAUUGACACAUUUCGCUCCACUGAUGCUACAUACCAGGGAUGCGGUGGUGGUGCAGGAUUCGUUGGAAGCCACACAGCGCACCCGAGAAGGAGAGGAGGAGAAUGCUAUGAGGAGAGGAAAUGAUAAGUUUUAUUGUUUUGUUUUAAGAGCAAGGGAUUUGAUAUGUAGUCCCCUGGCUUAUUUGUAUUCUACUAUGUGUAUGGUCAAAGAAAUCAUGAUUUUAUACACACAUAUAUUUUUAAACAAAACCCUAUGUAUGUUUUUCUCAAACAGUGUCAUCGGAAAGCGCUCAUAUUUUCAAUGCGUACAUGAUUUUAAAUGGUUCUUUGUGAAGAUGGUAGCAAAUAUUUUGUGCUAUCAAAUUAAAAUGUGUGUAUAUACAUCUCAUUGUAGACAACAAUCAAUCAUGUUUCUUAUUAAAGGUUAUUGCACCAUGGAUAAUUUUUUCCUUGUGCAUAGGGAUUUAGAGUGCCUCUGCAUCAUUUGGCGCAACAAAUCCCCGUUUUCCCUAACUAAGAGAUUAAGUUUGUUGUCAUAUGUGCUUGCCCGUAACAAAAUCAACUAA
This 735-nucleotide ribosomal RNA is filed under the name Triticum aestivum (bread wheat). Its description in RNAcentral is "partial small subunit ribosomal RNA". The record is from RNAcentral. Lineage: Eukaryota; Viridiplantae; Streptophyta; Magnoliopsida; Poales; Poaceae.